This 467-nucleotide ribosomal RNA is filed under the name uncultured bacterium. RNAcentral's name for it is "partial 16S ribosomal RNA". It matches the Rfam family "Bacterial small subunit ribosomal RNA", at positions 28 to 507 of the family's 1533-position model. The record is from RNAcentral.
GACGAACGCUGGCGGCGUGCUUAACACAUGCAAGUCGAACGGAAAGGCCUCUUUCGGGGGGUACUCGAGUGGCGAACGGGUGAGUAACACGUGAGUAACCUGCCCUUGACUUUGGGAUAACUUCAGGAAACUGGGGCUAAUACCGGAUAGGAGCUCCUGCUGCAUGGUGGGGGUUGGAAAGUUUCGGCGGUUGGGGGUGGACUCGCGGCUUAUCAGCUUGUUGGUGGGGUAGUGGCUUACCAAGGCUUUGACGGGUAGCCGGCCUGAGAGGGUGACCGGCCACACUGGGACUGAGAUACGGCCCAGACUCCGACGGGAGGCAGCAGUGGGGAAUAUUGCACAAUGGGUGGAAGCCUGAUGCAGCAACGCCGCGUGCGGGAUGACGGCCUUCGGGUUGUAAACCGCUUUCGCUCAUGACGAAGCUUUGUGUGACGGUAGUGGGUAAAGAAGCACCGGCUAACUACGUG